This 115-nucleotide ribosomal RNA is filed under the name Acinetobacter beijerinckii CIP 110307. Lineage: Bacteria; Pseudomonadati; Pseudomonadota; Gammaproteobacteria; Moraxellales; Moraxellaceae. The record is from RNAcentral.
UGGGGACAAUGGCAAGAGUUAAUCACCUGAUCCAUUUCCGAACUCAGAAAGGAAACAUUUUAGGGUUGGAUGGUAAUGUGGCAUUUGCAAAGUGAGAAUAUAGCAUCACUAGCUU